AUUGAACGCUGGCGGCAUGCCUUACACAUGCAAGUCGAACGGCAGCACGGGAGCAAUCCUGGUGGCGAGUGGCGAACGGGUGAGUAAAGUAUCGGAAUGUGCACAGUCGUGGGGGAUAACGUAGCGAAAGUUACGCUAAUACCGCAUACGAUCAAUGGAUGAAAGCGGGGGAUCGCAAGACCUCGCGCGAUUGGAGCGGCCGAGAUCAGAUUAGGUAGUUGGUGGGGUAAAGGCUCACCAAGCCGACGAUCUGUAGCUGGUCUGAGAGGACGACCAGCCACACUGGGACUGAGACACGGCCCAGACUCCUACGGGAGGCAGCAGUGGGGAAUUUUGGACAAUGGGCGAAAGCCUGAUCCAGCCAUGCCGCGUGCAGGAUGAAGGCCUUCGGGUUGUAAACUGCCUUUGUACGGAACGAAAAGGUUUGGCCUAAUAAGCUGAGCUCAUGACGGUACCGUAAGAAUAAGCACCGGCUAACUACGUGCCAGCAGCCGCCGUAA
Molecule: ribosomal RNA, 500 nt
Filed under: uncultured bacterium
Lineage: Bacteria
Description: partial 16S ribosomal RNA
Rfam family: Bacterial small subunit ribosomal RNA
Source: RNAcentral